RNAcentral lists this long non-coding RNA (367 nucleotides) under Oryza brachyantha (malo sina). RNAcentral's name for it is "long non-coding RNA (OBRA_LNC000790)". The record is from RNAcentral. Lineage: Eukaryota; Viridiplantae; Streptophyta; Magnoliopsida; Poales; Poaceae.
GGCGCCAUUUCAGUUUCCUCCCAGAACUAAGUGCCUCUGCCAUUGCAGGUCCUCCAGGAAGGAGCCGAAGAAGAAGGCAGUGCAGUGCGGUUGCCGAAACGCAUGUUGUGCUGCUGCUGCUGGCCGUGCCUCUUAGUUUGUGAUGAUUACCCAGACGGCGUAGAUGAUCCCCGGCAGGUAGCCAAAGAAGGAGAGCAGGAGGCAGAUCCAGAACUCUUUCUGUUACACAUAUUAACGCGUCGUCGUCGUCAAUGCAGGAUUUUGCAGAGAAUUGCAGAGGCGGUCGGUGGCGAUGAUUGGGUACUACACCUCGCAGCCGACCUUGAGGAAGACGCCGAGGGGAGGCAGGAUGAUGGCGAUGACGAGG